RNAcentral lists this ribosomal RNA (640 nucleotides) under uncultured Basidiomycota. RNAcentral describes it as "LSU rRNA". It matches the Rfam family "Eukaryotic large subunit ribosomal RNA", at positions 1 to 624 of the family's 3401-position model. The record is from RNAcentral. Lineage: Eukaryota; Fungi; Basidiomycota.
CCUCAAAUCAGGUAGGAUUACCCGCUGAACUUAAGCAUAUCAAUAAGCGGAGGAAAAGAAACUGACAAGGAUUCCCCUAGUAACUGCGAGUGAAGCGGGAAAAGCUCAAAUUUAAAAUCUGAUAGUCUUUGGCUGUCCGAGUUGUAAUCUAGAGAAGCACUAUCCGUGCUGGACCCAUGUGUAAGUCUCCUGGAAUGGGGCGUCAUAGAGGGUGAGAAUCCCGUCUUCAACAUGGACUACCAGUGCAUUGUGAUAUGCUCUCAAAGAGUCGAGUUGUUUGGGAAUGCAGCUCUAAAUGGGUGGUAAAUUCCAUCUAAAGCUAAAUAUUGGCGAGAGACCGAUAGCGAACAAGUACCGUGAGGGAAAGAUGAAAAGAACUUUGGAAAGAGAGUUAAACAGUACGUGAAAUUGUUGAAAGGGAAACGCUUAAAGUCAGUCGCAUUGGUCAGGGAUCAACCUUGCUUUUUUGCUUGGUGUAUUUUCUGAUUAAUGGGUCAGCAUCAAUUUUGAUCAGCGGAAAAAGGCUGAGGGAAUGUGGCAUCUUUUUGAUGUGUUAUAGCUCUCUGUCAUAUACAUUGGUUGGGAUUGAGGAACUCAGCAUGCCGCAAGGCCGGGUUUUAACCACGUUCAUGCUUAGGAU